CUCAUGCCACCCUGCCAGUCCUGCGCCGCUUUGCAAUGCUGGAAUCUGGUCUGCAUGAUUCUCCUGAAGAAUCAUUCAGAUCAGAUCCCAGACUUGCAAAGCGGCGCAGGACUGGCAGGGCGGCGUGAGC
This 130-nucleotide microRNA precursor is filed under the name Podarcis lilfordi (Lilford's wall lizard). Lineage: Eukaryota; Metazoa; Chordata; Lepidosauria; Squamata; Lacertidae. The record is from RNAcentral.